Molecule: ribosomal RNA, 322 nt
Filed under: uncultured eukaryote
Lineage: Eukaryota
Description: partial 18S ribosomal RNA
Rfam family: Eukaryotic small subunit ribosomal RNA
Source: RNAcentral
CCCUUAGAUGUUCUGGGCCGCACGCGUGCUACACUGAGUGGAUCAGCGGGUCAGGUUGCGCGAAAGUGUUUCCUAAUCUUGAAAUCCGCUCGUGAUGGGGAUUGACGGUUGCAAUUUUCCGUCAUGAACGAGGAAUACCUUGUAAGCGCGGGUCAUCAUCCCGCGCUGAAUACGUCCCUGCCCUUUGUACACACCGCCCGUCGCUCCUACCGAUUGAGUGGUCCGGUGAGGCUUUGGGAUCUGAGCAAAAAGAGCGUUUCGCUCGGUUGGCUCGGAAAACUCAGUCGAACCUUAUCAUUUAGAGGAAGGAGAAGUCGUAACA